CCUCCAAUUUCAAACAGUAACACCUGAACUACUGUCUAAUGAAGAUGAAAAAUCAGAUAAGGAUCGCAAAAAUGAGGGGCAAACAAGAAAUAUAAUAUUGGAAUUGUCGAAUCACAAAUUUCUUGAACGUUACAAACCAGCCAAUGCCGCCUAGAAACUGUGAUCGUACAAAUGAAUCCCAAAUAUCUCUAGAGUUCCUUUGAGGCAAACAUACUUUUGGACCGAAACAUAAGUUUGCAAUGGAAAUCCAAG
RNAcentral lists this long non-coding RNA (252 nucleotides) under Medicago truncatula (barrel medic). Its description in RNAcentral is "lncRNA gene37767". Lineage: Eukaryota; Viridiplantae; Streptophyta; Magnoliopsida; Fabales; Fabaceae. The record is from RNAcentral.